RNAcentral lists this long non-coding RNA (1318 nucleotides) under Homo sapiens (human). RNAcentral describes it as "HSALNT0317709". Lineage: Eukaryota; Metazoa; Chordata; Mammalia; Primates; Hominidae. The record is from RNAcentral.
UAAAAGACUUUUCUAAAAAGACAACCAUCUAUAACAUUAGCUCAAGAUUGUGGUUAGAUUUGGGGGGAAGGAAAAGAAGAAGUGGUUUGUGGGGAAAAACAAGGGUAGUUCCAUUCUAUAGUUACACGAAUGUAUUAGCUUUGUUAUAAAUUAUUGAGCAUUACAUUAAUAUUUCAUUGUGGAUGCAUUUCUGUAUGUAUGUUAUACAUCAAUAAAAAUGUAAAUAUUACAUAUUUAAUACUAACUUAAUAUUUCAGAAUAAUAGCAAUGUUUCGUAUUGUUUUGUUUGAAAGUGGGGCAUUGGCCAGGCGCGGUCCACUGCACUCCAACCUGGGCAACAGAGUGAGACUGCAUAUCAAAAAAAAAAAAAUAGUGGAGCAUUUACAUUCAGUCAUCAUGAGAUGGAUACUAAUAUUCCAAGAAUUCUUCCAUCUCUAUGAGAACAAGCCCAUUUUAACUUUCUGGAGGAUAAAAUAGCAUGCUGAGGAAAGCCAAAGUGCGCCAGUUUACAGACAGCUCACUCCCAGAAGCAGAGCCACCUAAUUCACCAGCAUCUGACCACUCACACCUGAAGGAGCCAAACUGAGCCCAGAAGAAUGGCCCAGCUAAGCCCAGCCUAAAUUUCUAACCAGCUCAACCCUGAGCUAGUAUGUUUCAGGAUUGUUAUGCAGUUAUAGCUUAGUAAUAUAUACACCCAUUAAAGACAGGAUUCCAGGAUUCCAGGACAGAUUGAUUACAAAUAACCUGCAAAUGCUUGGCACCCUGUAAGUAUUGAUAUUGUGUUUCCUUUAUUUAAAGUUAAAUUUGUUGUAAGAUGGUAUUGACUUAUAUAGAAGUGAGGCAAGAGAAUAGGGUCUGGAGGCAGGGAACUUAAGGCCAAUUCGUGCUGAAUUCCUAAAGAAGAAACACCAAGGUCUGGGAGCAGGGAACCUAAGGCCAAUUAACGUGAACUUCCUACAUCUAAACCAAAAGGAAAACCUCAUCUACACCUGAGUAGCAAAGGAUCAAAGGUGACUGUUGCUACAACCCUCUCCUUUGCACCAGUUCUCUGAUAGAAAAGGAGAGUGACUUGGAGUGGCCGUGGGCCAAGCACAGGCCAUGCCUUCAUCUGCAUGGGGUACCAAUUCACCUCAGCCUUUGAUUAGCCACGGACCAAAUCUUUCAUCCAGAUAAGGGGUAGCUGAUAGGGACCUCAAAAGGAGUACUUAAAACCCAGAUAACUUUGUAACCGGGUCCUUGAGCUGCUUGCUGGGGCUCACACCCAUCCCGUGGAGUGCUUUCUUGCUUUAAUAAACCCCUGCUUUUGCUGUUUCCUUCA